This 285-nucleotide ribosomal RNA is filed under the name uncultured soil bacterium. RNAcentral describes it as "partial 16S ribosomal RNA". It matches the Rfam family "Bacterial small subunit ribosomal RNA", at positions 26 to 338 of the family's 1533-position model. The record is from RNAcentral.
AGAACGAACGCUGGCGGCAUGCCUAACACAUGCAAGUCGAACGAGACCUUCGGGUCUAGUGGCGCACGGGUGCGUAACGCGUGGGAAUCUGCCCUUGGGUUCGGGAUAACAGUUGGAAACGACUGCUAAUACCGGAUGAUGACUUCGGUCCAAAGAUUUAUCGCCCAGGGAUGAGCCCGCGUAGGAUUAGCUAGUUGGUGAGGUAAAGGCUCACCAAGGCGACGAUCCUUAGCUGGUCUGAGAGGAUGAUCAGCCACACGUGGGACUGAGACACGGCCCAGACCU